GUUUAGGACAGGGGACAGGGGACAGGGGUGAGGCAGGAUUUGAUGGACAGACAGGGAGGUUUAGAGGGGACAGGGGUGAGGCAGGGAUUUGAUGGACAGACAGGGAGGUUUAGAGGGGACAGGGGUGAGGCAGGGAUUUGAUGGACAGACAGGGAGGUUUAGAGGGGACAGGGGUGAGGCAGGGAUUUGAUGGACAGACAGGGAGGUUUAGAGGGGACAGGGGGUGAGGCAGGGAUUUGAUAGACAGGGAGGUUUAGAGGGGACAGGGGGUGAGGCAGGGAUUUGAUGGACAGACAGGGAGGUUUAGAGGGGACAGGGGGUGAGGCAGGGAUUUGAUGGACAGACAGGGU
Long non-coding RNA from Oncorhynchus tshawytscha (Chinook salmon), 350 nucleotides. NCBI's taxonomy places the organism in Eukaryota, Metazoa, Chordata, Actinopteri, Salmoniformes, Salmonidae. The record is from Ensembl.